Molecule: ribosomal RNA, 253 nt
Filed under: uncultured bacterium
Lineage: Bacteria
Description: partial 16S ribosomal RNA
Rfam family: Bacterial small subunit ribosomal RNA
Source: RNAcentral
UACGGAGGGAGCUAGCGUUGUUCGGAAUUACUGGGCGUAAAGCGUGCGUAGGCGGUUAUUCAAGUCAGAGGUGAAAGCCCGGGGCUCAACCCCGGAACGGCCUUUGAAACUAGGUAACUAGAAUCUUGGAGAGGUUAGUGGAAUUCCGAGUGUAGAGGUGAAAUUCGUAGAUAUUCGGAAGAACACCAGUGGCGAAGGCGACUAACUGGACAAGUAUUGACGCUGAGGUACGAAAACGUGGGGAGCAAACAGG